This is a long non-coding RNA of Passer domesticus (house sparrow), 238 nucleotides long. RefSeq lists it as uncharacterized. The record is from RefSeq and is a predicted model, not a curated record. NCBI's taxonomy places the organism in Eukaryota, Metazoa, Chordata, Aves, Passeriformes, Passeridae. The transcript is spliced from 3 exons.
GGCAUUUCUUGAAGGAAGCACUCCAUCUUCGGUGCCAGCCCCUGCUGCAGGAAGGAAGGCAAAGCCAGACACGGGCACAGGCACAGCAGACUGGGAUGCUGGGAAGGAUUCUCCAUUAGCCUGGCGCUCUGAAGUUGUGAAGCACUCUGAGCAUUCUGCAGGCGUGUCUGCAGGGACGACCUCACCAACUCCUACCUUGGAUGCUGCACAAAAGGCCAGCUCCCAUGGCAGGGGUGAG